CACUUCUUAGCCUAAGACGGUGUGAUGAGUAUCGCACAAUAGGGAAUAGGGGUGAGGGCUUAAAAUCCCAACUCCCAAGCUGCCCCCGCAACUG
RNAcentral lists this non-coding RNA (94 nucleotides) under Elstera litoralis. Lineage: Bacteria; Pseudomonadati; Pseudomonadota; Alphaproteobacteria; Rhodospirillales; Rhodospirillaceae. The record is from RNAcentral.